This 481-nucleotide ribosomal RNA is filed under the name uncultured bacterium. RNAcentral describes it as "partial 16S ribosomal RNA". It matches the Rfam family "Bacterial small subunit ribosomal RNA", at positions 28 to 507 of the family's 1533-position model. The record is from RNAcentral.
GACGAACGCUGGCGGCGUGCUUAACACAUGCAAGUCGAACGGGAUCCGGGCUUUCGGGUUUGGUGAGAGUGGCGAACGGGUGAGUAACACGUGAGUAACCUGCCCCCUUCUUUGGGAUAACGUCGGGAAAUCGGCGCUAAUACUGGAUAUUCUUGCUGCAUCGCAUGGUGUGGUUUGGAAAGGGUUUCUGGUGGGGGAUGGGCUCGCGGCCUAUCAGCUUGUUGGUGGGGUGAUGGCCUACCAAGGCUUUGACGGGUAGCCGGCCUGAGAGGGUGUCCGGCCACACUGGGACUGAGACACGGCCCAGACUCCUACGGGAGGCAGCAGUGGGGAAUAUUGCACGAUGGGCGCAAGCCUGAUGCAGCGACGCCGCGUGAGGGAUGACGGCCUUCGGGUUGUAAACCUCUUUCAGUAUGGAACAAGGAUCCUUCUUUUGGGGGGUUUGAGGGUACGUGCAGAAGAAGCGCCGGCUAACUACGUG